AGCAGCCGCGGUAAUUCCAGCUCCAAUAGCGUAUAUUAAAGUUGUUGCAGUUAAAAAGCUCGUAGUUGAACUUCAGGCCUGUCCAGACGGUCCGCCUUAAUUGGUGUGUACUGUCCUUGGGUGGGUCCUACCUUCUGGCGAAGCGGCAUGGCCUUAAUUGGUUGUGUCGGGGAACCAGGACUUUUACUGUGAAAAAUUAGAGUGUUCAAAGCAGGCAAAUAUGCUCGAAUACAUUAGCAUGGAAUAAUGGAAUAGGACGAUGGUUCUAUUUUGUUGGUUCUAGGACCGUUGUAAUGAUUAAUAGGGAUAGUUGGGGGCAUUAGUAUUCAAUUGUCAGAGGUGAAAUUCUUGGAUUUAUUGAAGACUAACUACUGCGAAAGCAUUUGCCAAGGAUGUUUUCAUUAAUCAAGAACGAAAGUUAGGGGAUCGAAGACGAUCAGAUACCGUCGUAGUCUUAACCAUAAACUAUGCCGACUAGGAAUC
RNAcentral lists this ribosomal RNA (483 nucleotides) under uncultured Paraglomus. Its description in RNAcentral is "bacterial SSU rRNA". It matches the Rfam family "Eukaryotic small subunit ribosomal RNA", at positions 569 to 1054 of the family's 1831-position model. The record is from RNAcentral. Lineage: Eukaryota; Fungi; Glomeromycota; Glomeromycetes; Paraglomerales; Paraglomeraceae.